RNAcentral lists this ribosomal RNA (427 nucleotides) under uncultured bacterium. RNAcentral describes it as "partial 16S ribosomal RNA". It matches the Rfam family "Bacterial small subunit ribosomal RNA", at positions 355 to 774 of the family's 1533-position model. The record is from RNAcentral.
UGGGGAAUAUUGCACAAUGGGCGCAAGCCUGAUGCAGCCAUGCCGCGUGUAUGAAGAAGGCCUUCGGGUUGUAAAGUACUUUCAGCGGGGAGGAAGGGAGUAAAGUUAAUACCUUUGCUCAUUGACGUUACCCGCAGAAGAAGCACCGGCUAACUCCGUGCCAGCAGCCGCGGUAAUACGGAGGGUGCAAGCGUUAAUCGGAAUUACUGGGCGUAAAGCGCACGCAGGCGGUUUGUUAAGUCAGAUGUGAAAUCCCCAGGCUCAACCUGGGAACUGCAUCUGAUACUGGCAAGCUUGAGUCUCGUAGAGGGGGGUAGAAUUCCAGGUGUAGCGGUGAAAUGCGUAGAGAUCUGGAGGAAUACCGGUGGCGAAGGCGGCCCCCUGGACGAAGACUGACGCUCAGGUGCGAAAGCGUGGGGAGCAAACA